Molecule: ribosomal RNA, 484 nt
Filed under: uncultured bacterium
Lineage: Bacteria
Description: partial 16S ribosomal RNA
Rfam family: Bacterial small subunit ribosomal RNA
Source: RNAcentral
AUUGAACGCUGGCGGCAGGCCUAACACAUGCAAGUCGAGCGGAUGAAGGGAGCUUGCUCCUGGAUUCAGCGGCGGACGGGUGAGUAAUGCCUAGGAAUCUGCCUGGUAGUGGGGGAUAACGUCCGGAAACGGGCGCUAAUACCGCAUACGUCCUGAGGGAGAAAGUGGGGGAUCUUCGGACCUCACGCUAUCAGAUGAGCCUAGGUCGGAUUAGCUAGUUGGUGGGGUAAAGGCCUACCAAGGCGACGAUCCGUAACUGGUCUGAGAGGAUGAUCAGUCACACUGGAACUGAGACACGGUCCAGACUCCUACGGGAGGCAGCAGUGGGGAAUAUUGGACAAUGGGCGAAGGUCUGAUCCAGCCAUGCCGCGUGUGUGAAGAAGGUCUUCGGAUUGUAAAGCACUUUAAGUUGGGAGGAAGGGCAGUAAGUUAAUACCUUGCUGUUUUGACGUUACCAACAGAAUAAGCACCGGCUAACUUCGUG